AAAAGUUGCUAGGCAUUGCAGCUGAGCACGUCACCAUCCAGACUAUUGCAACAGGAACAAUCUGUUGAAAUCCUCAAAUGAAGGCCAUUCUAUUGCAAUCCAGACAACAAAACAACCUGCCUUUUUCCACCAUAAUCAAAUAAAAAAUCUCCUCUUCCUGUGAGGUACAAAAUGUCCAGAAUGUCAUCUUCAGCAUUGUCAUGACAAAAAGAUAGAUAUGGAGAAAUUAUGGAGAUGUUAGAGCAGAGACAAGCAGAUGUAUGCUGUGUACAAGAUGCAGGGAAAAAGAAGAUCCUGAGCCAAACUCAUCAUCAUCAUUAUCAUCAUCAUCAUUCAAUCUCCAUGUGUAGAAUGGGUUGACAGGUUCCAGUGAGUCAGACAACUGCAUCAAGCUCCAAUGUUGGUGACCCAGUAACUGGCUGGUUACCUGAAAUUAGUGCAGCUAAUUGUUUGGUUAUUUGUACCACAGAACACCUGUAAUAUUGAUCCCUUGUAAUUGCUUGUACCAUAUUCAUAAUCGUGGAGGCGCAAUGGCCCAGUGGUUAGGGCAGCGGACUCGCGGUCAUAGGAUAGCGGUUUUGAU
This is a long non-coding RNA of Octopus sinensis (East Asian common octopus), 583 nucleotides long. RefSeq lists it as uncharacterized. Lineage: Eukaryota; Metazoa; Mollusca; Cephalopoda; Octopoda; Octopodidae. The record is from RefSeq and is a predicted model, not a curated record. The transcript has 3 exons.